RNAcentral lists this unclassified non-coding RNA (348 nucleotides) under uncultured fungus. RNAcentral's name for it is "sequence contains ITS1". The stretch from base 1 to 101 matches the Rfam family "5.8S ribosomal RNA", at positions 50 to 154 of the family's 154-position model. The record is from RNAcentral. Lineage: Eukaryota; Fungi.
AAAGUGCGACAAGUGUCAUGACUUGCAGAUACCCGAGAGCUGACAAAUUUCUGAAUGCAAAUUGCAGCCAAGUUAACCUGGCUAUGUAUUGCAGAGAGUACUUCGCUUAUGCGCGCCAUCCAGGGGUGGUUCCAUUCCCUCUUGGGCUAUGUGCAGGCAUUCAUUUGCUUGCUGAGCAUUGUGCCACUCCAACCUCCGUGUUGGAUUACAGGCCAACUCAAAUCAAAGAUAGAAAACCAAUGAGUUUUCCCGGACAAUAUGAGAUAAUUGCGCUAAUGGCUAAACACCAUUCUCUCAAUUACUUCUCACCAUUCACCUCUGCAAUGCAGGAGAACCCGCUGAACUUAA